UACGUAGGUGACAAGCGUUAUCCGGAAUUACUGGGCGUAAAGCGCACGCAGGCGGCUGAGUAAGUCUGACGUGAAAUCUCCCGGCUUAACCGGGAGCGGUCGUUGGAAACUACUUGGCUCGAGGCGAUGAGAGGGGUGUGGAAUUCCCGGUGUAGUGGUGGAAUGCGCAGAUAUCAGGAAGAACACCGAUGGCGAAAGCAGCUCUCUGGGACGGUACUGACGCUGAGGCGCGAAAGCGUGGGGAGCGAACAGG
Molecule: ribosomal RNA, 253 nt
Filed under: uncultured bacterium
Lineage: Bacteria
Description: partial 16S ribosomal RNA
Rfam family: Bacterial small subunit ribosomal RNA
Source: RNAcentral